CCUCCUUUCUUCCUCCUUGCGGCAUCUUGGUCAAUGGGCGCGAGCCUGAACCAGCCAAGUAGCGUGAAGGAUGACUGACCUACGGGUUGUAAACUUCUUUUAUAAAGGACUAAAGUGAGGCACGUGUGCCUUUUUGUAUGUACUUUAUGAAUAAGGAUCGGCUAACGACGUGCCAGCAGCCGCGGUAAUACGGAGGAUCCGAGCGUUAUCCGGAUUUAUUGGGUUUAAAGGGAGCGUAGAUGGGUUGUUAAGUCAGUUGUGAAAGUUUGCGGGUCAACCGUAAAAUUGCAAUUGAUACUGGCAGUCUUGAGUACAGUUGAGGUAGGCGGAAUUCGUGGUGUAGCGGUGAAAUGCUUAGAUAUCACGAAGAACUCCGAUUGCGAAGGCAGCUUACUAAACUGCCACUGACAGUGAUGCUCGAAAGUGUGGGUAUCAAACAGGAUGAGAUACCCGUGUAGUC
Molecule: ribosomal RNA, 460 nt
Filed under: uncultured bacterium
Lineage: Bacteria
Description: partial 16S ribosomal RNA
Rfam family: Bacterial small subunit ribosomal RNA
Source: RNAcentral